This is a long non-coding RNA of Oncorhynchus keta (chum salmon), 556 nucleotides long. RefSeq lists it as uncharacterized. NCBI's taxonomy places the organism in Eukaryota, Metazoa, Chordata, Actinopteri, Salmoniformes, Salmonidae. The transcript is spliced from 4 exons. The record is from RefSeq and is a predicted model, not a curated record.
GGAAGUGUUCACCUGUUUAUCUACGAGAUUAUAGUUACUCUAAGGGGUUAAUUUAUUUAGAAUUCUAGGAUUUGGAGGUUGAAGGGUGUGAUUUCAGACUAGGUUGAAGGGUGUGAUUUCAGACUAGGUUGAAGGGUGUGAUUUCAGACUAGGUUGAAGGGUAUGAUUUUAAGACUAGGUUGAAGGGUGUGAUUUCAGACUAGGUUGAAGGGUAUGAUUUCAGACUAGGUUGAAAGGUUUGAUUUCAGACUAGGUUGAAGGGUGUGAUUCCAGACUAGGUUGAAGGGUGUGAUUUCAGACUAGGUUGAAGGGUAUGAUUUCAGACUAGGUUGAAGGGUGUGAUUCCAGACUAGGUUGAAGGGUGUGCUUCCAGACUAGGUUGAAGUGUAUGAUUUCAGACUAGGUUGAAAGGUUUGAUUUCAGACUAGGUUGAAGGGUGUGAUUCCAGACUAGGUUGAAGGGUGUGAUUUCAGACUAGGUUGAAGGGUGUGAUUUCAGACUAGGUUGAAGGGUAUGAUUUCAGACUAGGUUGAAGGUUAUGAUUUUAAGACUAGGU